AUGGGAGUAAUCAUCCAAAAUGACAAGAUAGUAAAGAAAACCGGAGUUACUCGGAACAAGCAAGGUCCACACAUCACUAUGAAUCAACUGAAAUGGAAAGGACACAACUGUGGAGUAGGAACUAAACAGAAGGUGAACAUGUUUGUCAGCAUGACAUGCGUCACAAGUAUGAGCAUCCAUUUUAUUAUAGGAAAAGGAAAAUCCUCGCAAAAUUUGCCGAAAAGUGGUGGUGCUAGGGUGGCCGAGGCUGGACGAGGUACAAAUCUCCAGGGCUGUCACAUCGGCGAAGGACCAUCCGCAUACGAGCAUCCUUGA
RNAcentral lists this ribosomal RNA (315 nucleotides) under Triticum aestivum (bread wheat). Its description in RNAcentral is "partial small subunit ribosomal RNA". The record is from RNAcentral. Lineage: Eukaryota; Viridiplantae; Streptophyta; Magnoliopsida; Poales; Poaceae.